AACUGCGCUGUGCGGGCUCAUGGCUUCCGCCUUUUUCUUGAGGACUGGCUAAACACUGGCGUUGCUCUAUGCGAUCAGUGCAGAGCCGAAAACAAAUACGACCUUCUGCCUUGGAGCUCCCGUGAUGGCAGAGUCACUUGUUGAAGUAUCUGCAGUGAGUUAAGACUUCAGCUGAGCACUGGAGAGUUCGGGACAAAUCAAAGAAGGCUCCUGCCUCCUGAGGCGCACACACAGAAGCAGGAACGAAAACUCAAGAAAAGGCACACGGCUUCUACUGAUGUUCGAAGGAGAGAGGGAGCUUGCGUAUUUACUCGCUACCUUUGCGUUUCCUGUACCAAAUACCAAGUCGGUGCAAGACAAAUGUCGAUCUGAACUUGGCUUGCUUAUUUACUUAAGUCUCCGUCUCAGUGGCUACUGUUGAAAGCUUCCCCCAAGAUGUCUUCUAGUUACCUGUGCCCAUGUUUCUUAGAUCUCGGUUUCAAACAUACAGUGAUGUUUGCUGAGUGAGUCAGAGUGAUAAAAAUGAUAAUAAGGAUGGAGUAAGGAAACUGUUCCCUUUGAAAGUACUCGAUCCUUCAUCACUUCUCUCGAGGUCCGAGUUCAAGUCUUUUCACCAGGACUAGCAUAACUGUUCUUAAAUGUAAGGUUAUGAGGUUGUUGAUCCAGCAUGGGCCAGAGAGUAUCUUAUAAAACAUUGACUCCUGAAAGAAAUGCUAACCUGUUGUUCCCCUUGGAAAGAGAGAGGGGGAAUUUCCCAUAGUCAAAUCAGGUUAGGAGAAUCAACCUGAUUCCUUCAUGUGGUCCAUUUCAGAAAGACUCUCAUAUUACUGUACAUUUUAAAAUGUGGUACAUUAUCUAUGCUCCACUAGAAAGAGGAAAGAAUACUGCCAAACUAUCAUAUGUCCUUAUCACAAUGUUUGUCUUAAAGAUUUAUUUAUUUUUAUUUCAUGGAUAGCAGUGUUUUGCCUGAAAGUAGGUGUAGCAUGCAUGUAGUACCAGCAGAGGCCAGAAGAGGGCACUGGAUCCCCUGGAACUGGAGUUAGCAGAAAGUUGGGAUCUGCCACGAGGAUGCUGGGACUCUGACCCAGGUCCUCUGCAAGAGCAGCCAGUGCUCUUAACAGCCGAGCCCCCUCACCAACCCCCAUCACUUUGGUUUUUUUUUAAGCUGAAUCCUCAUUAUGAAAAUAGUAGAGUGGAAAAAGCUGAGUAUUCAAAUUUAUGAAGACAGUAAUAUAUCGUAGCAUCAACUGAUAAUUUACAGGGUAAAUAACAGAACUAAUAUUCCUCAUCUUAUAAACUGAAAACUGACAAGCUUCUAGACUAAAACCCCUAAGAAGCAGUUAAUGCCUGAAGAAGUUACCUGGUGUGCUCACACGCCUAUGUGACAGGAGCCCGGACCUGGAGGUUGUACCCAGCCGUUGACUACGCUCUCCUCAGCGCAUGCUCUGUGGUACCUUACUAUGCCCCACUACUGCUAACUCACAUUCCCCAAGCACACGGUCAUCUCCUGCCAGCUCCACGCCCCGCUAGGUACAGCUACCUCGUCCUUGACACCCUUUCCUGUCCUCUGUGAAAUCUGGUCCCAGGAAGCCAUCCUGCCGUAUGGUGCAGAAAGCAGCAAAACAUUUCUUACCCUUCUCCUGCCUCUAUAGUUAAACGACAAGGGAGUGUCUAUGAGGACUCACAAGAGCAUCAGUAAAGUACUUCCUUCCAGCGGCCAUCUUCCUGAGGCACUGUUCUGAGGCCUAAGGGGUGUUUGUUUGUUUUGUUUUGUUUUUCUUUUUUUCUGUUUUUCUUUUUUCGAGACAGGGUUUCUCUGUGUAGCCCUGGCUGUCCUGGAACUCACUCUGUAGACCAGGCUGGCCUCGAACUCAGAAAUCCGCCUGCCUCUGCCUCCCAAGUGCUGGGAUUAAAGGCGGGCGCCACCACUGCUUGUUCACCGACAUUCACCCGGUCCACAGACAUGCAUCGGGUGCCCGUGAUGUGACAGACGUGGUUCUGGUGUGAAUGGAGCAGUGAAUCAACCAGUCAAAAAUCUCAGCCUUUCUGGUACUUUACAGGAUCCAAGCAUUUCCUGUAACAAGAAAUACUUUGCCUGGCCACCCCAUCGUCCUCUCCGGGUUUUAGCCGGCUGCUCCCUGGUUUCUUUUCUCCGCUUUCUUCUCUUGGAUAGCAAGAAGUGGAGGUUCUAUUUUACAAGGUUUGGGAAAUUUUCGGCUAAUGUAACACUUGAGAAUUCUGUCUAAUUGUAAAAGUAAUAAUAAUAAUAAUAAUAAAUGUUAUAUAACUCUUAGUUUACAGUUGAAGACAUGGAAUAAAAGGUAGAAAAGGAUGCUUCCGGGGCCCCACAGCAAACUGGUAAUAAAAACAAACCAGUAAGGAAUAUAUAAUUUGUUUCUUCAUCAAUGCCAAAACUAUAGUAAAAGGCUCUGAAACUUGAGGUUAAGUUAUAUAAAAUCACAUGGGUGAUAUUAAAAUAUUAAUCAAGUGGAAUGAGUCAUCCUGAGAUAAUAUGUAUUCUGGCAGUAAAAUCUUAUAAAAUUACAACUGUAAAGAUAUUUACAAUGGUAGAUUUUCCUGGCUUGCCUAAAAUUCAAAUAAUCUAUUGAUUUAAAAUAAUAUCCCGUUCUCUGUAAUCGCGUGGCUGAAUAUAAGCAUCAUAAAGUAGUGUUGAAGGGAGAAGUAUUUAUCAUAAAAGUUAAUAUGUGUAACUGUGCAAGUAUAUAAUUUAUUAAUCCACUGUGUACCUAGUAAAUACUUUUGAAGCAUUUUUAGAUAAGUGAUACUUGUGUGGGCGUAUUAAAUACAGAUAAAGGGGGAAAUUAAGGCAUUUCUAACAGAUGUUAAGCUUUCCCAUAAAUAGUUGCUUUCAAAUGUGAAGGCACAAAAUAUCUACAUUUGCUUAUUUAUCAUUUUGUCACUCUGUCUCAAUAACCUAGCUUAAAUAACUUUAAAUUAAAAUGUAUCCAGCAA
This 2973-nucleotide long non-coding RNA is filed under the name Mus musculus (house mouse). Its description in RNAcentral is "predicted gene 15910 (Gm15910)". Lineage: Eukaryota; Metazoa; Chordata; Mammalia; Rodentia; Muridae. The record is from RNAcentral.